RNAcentral lists this long non-coding RNA (1347 nucleotides) under Apteryx haastii (Great spotted kiwi). Its description in RNAcentral is "lncRNA (ENSAHAG00000013243.1)". Lineage: Eukaryota; Metazoa; Chordata; Aves; Apterygiformes; Apterygidae. The record is from RNAcentral.
AUGCUGCCACAGUCCCCAUCAGGAGUGGGUUUUGCCAGAACUGGCCAAGAAAUGCGCCAGGAGCUAAUCAGCAAGCUGCCCCCAGCUCCCAGAGGUGCUUGUGCCCCAGCGGUCAAGGCACAAUGCUUGGACGCAAUGGUGCAGAGCCAGGUCUUGGUGCUAAGCAAGUCCUCAGUGUCCCAAGGUGGAGACCUGCAACCUCCUCAACUGCAAGUGCCACCUGCUGAGAUGCCCCAGGAGGAAACAGCUUCUUUUGCCCCGGAUGAUCCCCUGCAGGGUGCAAUGACAGCCAAAGAUGUUUCAGAGAAGGCUAAACUGACCAGCCCACCCUUCGCAGAGGUAACACCUGGCUCUGCAAAAGACAUCGCUGCCAGGUUGCACAGUGAAAUGGCUGCACCUGAGUCACCCUCGCCUUCGCUGCUUGAGCCUUCGGGCCUUGUUCAGAGCAUCAUUGGAGAAGUUGGCAUGGAACUGAGGGCUGAGAGCCAGUGGCCUGCCCCACAUGGCCCUGCACUGCCUUCUGUGGCUCUGGAGGACGCAGGCCUGAGGCUUGUAUCUGCAACCUUGAGCCGUCCUGAUGAAAUGAGUCCUGGACCCAGCCAGCAGCUGGCUCAGCCUGAUGCAGACAAAGCCAGGAAGGAGCUCAGUGCAGCCAUGCCACAAAGGACGUUGGCACACACCAUCGAUCAAGCAACACAGGCAAGCCCAGCCCAGGACCAGACCACAGAGUGUGGCAAAAGCACAGCCGUCACAGCUCAGCAAAGGCCUGAUCCCCACGCUCGUGGGGGCAAAAGGAUCAGCAGGACUGGUGCAGCAGCUUCCCCAGGUGAGGGCAGUGGGCCAGGGACACAACGACAAGCACUGGCAGGGCAGGGCCCAAAACAGCAGCCUUUGGGCAUCAUCUGCCACACUGGAGGAGAGCUGCUGCGCGUGCACCCAGACGACACCUCACAGUAUCUCGCAGUGCUCACAAUCAAAACAGAGACCCUGGAGGAGCUCGGCAGGAGCUGCCUGACGCGCACAGGGCAGAACUUGGCCCAGCUCCGAGAAGCCUGUUUUCAGAGGAAGGAGCAGAGCCUGAAGGAAAGCGAGGGCAAGGAACAGGAGGGUGAGGGGAAACGUUUCUCUCUGACAGCGUCAGGAUCACUCAAUGUUCGACCCAAGGAGGUGAAUGCACCCCUCUGCACUAGGGCCAGCCACUGCACCAUGCUGCAACAGCCUGCUUGUCCCAGUGCUGGCGGGGCUCAGGAGGCCUUUCCUGGUGGGAAAAGAAGCUCUCUUCACAAAUCUCUCUCUCUUCUUUUAGCUCCUCAGCAGAAACUCCUUCCACAACUUGUGGAAACCUGA